CCUAUAAUUAACAAUAUAGGGUGAAACCUGCUCAAUGGCUAUGUAUAAAAAAUAAUAGUAGUUAAAUAGCCGCGGUAACUCUGACCGUGAUAAAGUAGCAUAAUCACUCGUCAUUUAAUUGGUGACUGGAAUGAAUGGUUAAACGAAUCCCCAACUGUCUCAAUGAUUAAAUUUAUGAAAUUAAAGUAAUAGUGAAGAUGCUAUUUAUUAAUUGUAAGACGAAAAGACCCUAUCGAGCUUUACUAAAAGCUUAGAGUUCUACAUUACUAAUAAAAUUAUUCUAAACAGCCUCUAAGCCUAUUAGUUUGGUUGGGGCGACCACCUCUAAAAUAGUAUCAGAGGUAACCUAAUGGUCAUUUAUAAAUAAGAUAAAGGCUUAACUGAAUACAUACCUGUUAACCAGUUACUAAUUGUAGGGUAUAAUGACCCGUUGGGUUAGUUAUUAAACUCAACGAAUAUGAAAAAAGUUACCGUAGGGAUAACAGGGUAAUAUUUCUGGAGAGUUCUCAUCGAUAGAAAUGUUUGCCACCUCGAUGUUGAAUUGCGAUAACCUAAAGGUGUAGCAGCUUUAAAGGGUUGGUCUGUUCGACCAUUAAAAUCUUACAUGAUUU
This 611-nucleotide ribosomal RNA is filed under the name Phyllorhiza punctata. Its description in RNAcentral is "partial 16S ribosomal RNA". It matches the Rfam family "Bacterial large subunit ribosomal RNA", at positions 1832 to 2606 of the family's 2925-position model. Lineage: Eukaryota; Metazoa; Cnidaria; Scyphozoa; Rhizostomeae; Mastigiidae. The record is from RNAcentral.